RNAcentral lists this ribosomal RNA (99 nucleotides) under Sphingomonas sp. RNAcentral describes it as "partial 16S ribosomal RNA". It matches the Rfam family "Bacterial small subunit ribosomal RNA", at positions 1441 to 1533 of the family's 1533-position model. The record is from RNAcentral. Lineage: Bacteria; Pseudomonadati; Pseudomonadota; Alphaproteobacteria; Sphingomonadales; Sphingomonadaceae.
AAUGAGAGGCAGGCGACCACGGUGGGCUUAGCGACUGGGGUGAAGUCGUAACAAGGUAGCCGUAGGGGAACCUGCGGCUGGAUCACCUCCUUUCUAAGG